This 253-nucleotide ribosomal RNA is filed under the name Acidobacterium sp. RNAcentral describes it as "partial 16S ribosomal RNA". It matches the Rfam family "Bacterial small subunit ribosomal RNA", at positions 524 to 776 of the family's 1533-position model. Lineage: Bacteria; Pseudomonadati; Acidobacteriota; Terriglobia; Terriglobales; Acidobacteriaceae. RNAcentral also lists the same sequence under 1 other name. The record is from RNAcentral.
UACGUAGGCAGCAAGCGUUGUUCGGAAUUACUGGGCGUAAAGAGUGUGUAGGCGGUGCUCUAAGUCUGUCGUGAAAUCUCCCGGCUUAACUGGGAGGGUGCGGCGGAAACUGGAGUGCUCGAGGAUGGGAGAGGUAAGCGGAAUUCCUGGUGUAGCGGUGAAAUGCGUAGAUAUCAGGAGGAACACCUGUGGUGUAGACAGCUUACUGGACCAUUUCUGACGCUGAGACACGAAAGCGUGGGUAGCAAACAGG